GACGAACGCUGGCGGCGUGCCUAACACAUGCAAGUCGAGCGGAGAUGUACUGAAGAUUUAUCGGAUGUACAUCUUAGCGGCGGACGGGUGAGUAACGCGUGGGCAACCUGCCUUUCACUGGGGGAUAACACAGGGAAACCUGUGCUAAUACCGCAUGACAUCACGUAGGGCAUCCUAUGUGAUCAAAGGAGAGAUCCGGUGGAAGAUGGGCCCGCGUCCAAUUAGCUGGUUGGUGAGGUAAAGGCUCACCAAGGCGACGAUUGGUAGCCGAACUGAGAGGUUGAUCGGCCACAUUGGGACUGAGACACGGCCCAGACUCCUACGGGAGGCAGCAGUGGGGAAUAUUGCGCAAUGGGGGAACCCUGACGCAGCAACGCCGCGUGAAGGAAGAAGGUCUUCGGAUUGUAAACUUCUUUGAUGAGGGACGAAUAAAGUGACGGUACCUCAAAACAAGCCACGGCUAACUACGUGCCAGCAGCCGCGGUAAAAGUC
RNAcentral lists this ribosomal RNA (492 nucleotides) under uncultured bacterium. RNAcentral's name for it is "bacterial SSU rRNA". It matches the Rfam family "Bacterial small subunit ribosomal RNA", at positions 28 to 526 of the family's 1533-position model. The record is from RNAcentral.